This 460-nucleotide ribosomal RNA is filed under the name uncultured bacterium. Its description in RNAcentral is "partial 16S ribosomal RNA". It matches the Rfam family "Bacterial small subunit ribosomal RNA", at positions 338 to 795 of the family's 1533-position model. The record is from RNAcentral.
CCUACGGGAGGCAGCAGUGAGGAAUAUUGGUCAAUGGACGAGAGUCUGAACCAGCCAAGUCGCGUGAAGGAUGACUGCCCUAUGGGUUGUAAACUUCUUUUAUAUGGGAAUAAAAUGUUCCACGUGUGGGAUUUUGUAUGUACCAUAUGAAUAAGGUUCGGCUAACUCCGUGCCAGCAGCCGCGGUAAUACGGAGGAGCCGAGCGUUAUCCGGAUUUAUUGGGUUUAAAGGGAGCGUAGGUGGAUUGUUAAGUCAGUUGUGAAAGGUUGCGGCUCAACCGUAAAAUUGCAGUUGAAACUGGCAGUCUUGAGUACAGUAGAGGUGGGCGGAAUGCGUGGUGUAGCGGUGAAAUGCUUAGAUAUCACGAAGAACUCCGAUUGCGAAGGCAGCUCACUGGACUGCAACUGACACUGAGGCUCGAAAGUGUGGGUAUCAAACAGGAUUAGAUACCCUAGUAGUC